CAAUGGCGCACUUCUGCCCCGAUACAUGCUCCUAGAAAAACUUAAAUUUGGGUUUGUUGGAUUGCUGACGAACCCAAUACUCCUGCUGCUAAAUUUUUUUGGCCUAGUCGUACCACGACUAUUGGCUGUAUUUGAAUUUGCUACCAUAGAAUUGACAGCAAAAUCAGGUAGGGAUUUUAAGGUAAUAUUAUCCUCAACUCCCAUCACAAAUUGUCCUGCCGAAAAAUUAGAUCGGUUGGAUUGCUGACGAACCCAAUACUCCUGCUGCUAAAUUUUUUUGGCCUAGUCGUACCACGACUAUUGGCUGUAUUUGUAUUUGCUACCAUAGAAUUGACUGCAAAAUCAGGUAGGGACUUUAAGGUAAUAUUAUCCUCAACCCCCAUCACAAAUUGUCCUGCCGAAAAGUUAGCCAAGGCCCAUGCUGCAGCCAAGUGAUCACACUUCCACAGUUUAGUGGCAGAUAUCUCGCCAAUUAUUUUAUAGUAAUCAUCUGCAAC
Molecule: long non-coding RNA, 497 nt
Filed under: Nicotiana benthamiana
Lineage: Eukaryota; Viridiplantae; Streptophyta; Magnoliopsida; Solanales; Solanaceae
Description: long non-coding RNA (NBEN_LNC019453)
Source: RNAcentral